Myotis brandtii (Brandt's bat) is the source of this 74-nucleotide non-coding RNA. The record is from Rfam. NCBI's taxonomy places the organism in Eukaryota, Metazoa, Chordata, Mammalia, Chiroptera, Vespertilionidae.
CUGGGGGGGGAGGGGUCCCUCAGCCUGGAUUGCGAGAGGGCACAGGCCAGGCUGAGGAACCCUGCCAGUUCACG